AUUGAACGCUGGCGGAAUGCUUUACACAUGCAAGUCGAGCGGCAGCACGGGGGCAACCCUGGUGGCGAGCGGCGAACGGGUGAGUAAUACAUCGGAACAUGCCCAGUCGUGGGGGAUAACACCUCGAAAGAAGUGCUAAUACCGCAUACGUCCUGAGGGGGAAAGCGGGGGAUCGCAAGACCUCGCGCGAUUGGAGUGGCCGAUGUCAGAUUAGCUAGUUGGUGGGGUAAAGGCCUACCAAGGCAACGAUCUGUAGCUGGUCUGAGAGGAUGAUCAGCCACACUGGGACUGAGACACGGCCCAGACUCCUACGGGAGGCAGCAGUGGGGAAUUUUGGACAAUGGGGGCAACCCUGAUCCAGCCAUUCCGCGUGAGUGAAGAAGGCCUUCGGGUUGUAAAGCUCUUUCGGCAGGAACGAAACGGUGAGCUCUAACAUAGCUUGCUAAUGACGGUACCUGAAGAAGAAGCACCGGCUAACUACGUG
Molecule: ribosomal RNA, 484 nt
Filed under: uncultured bacterium
Lineage: Bacteria
Description: partial 16S ribosomal RNA
Rfam family: Bacterial small subunit ribosomal RNA
Source: RNAcentral